RNAcentral lists this ribosomal RNA (580 nucleotides) under uncultured Paenibacillus sp. Its description in RNAcentral is "bacterial SSU rRNA". It matches the Rfam family "Bacterial small subunit ribosomal RNA", at positions 790 to 1368 of the family's 1533-position model. Lineage: Bacteria; Bacillati; Bacillota; Bacilli; Caryophanales; Paenibacillaceae. The record is from RNAcentral.
GUAGUCCACGCCGUAAACGAUGAAUGCUAGGUGUUAGGGGUUUCGAUACCCUUGGUGCCGAAGUUAACACAUUAAGCAUUCCGCCUGGGGAGUACGGUCGCAAGACUGAAACUCAAAGGAAUUGACGGGGACCCGCACAAGCAGUGGAGUAUGUGAUUUAAUUCGAAGCAACGCGAAGAACCUUACCAGGUCUUGACAUCCCUCUGACCGCUCUAGAGAUAGGGCUUUCCUUCGGGACAGAGGAGACAGGUGGUGCAUGGUUGUCGUCAGCUCGUGUCGUGAGAUGUUGGGUUAAGUCCCGCAACGAGCGCAACCCUUGAUCUUAGUUGCCAGCACUUUGGGUGGGCACUCUAAGAUGACUGCCGGUGACAAACCGGAGGAAGGUGGGGAUGACGUCAAAUCAUCAUGCCCCUUAUGACCUGGGCUACACACGUACUACAAUGGCCGAUACAACGGGAAGCGAAACCGCGAGGUGGAGCCAAUCCUAUCAAAGUCGGUCUCAGUUCGGAUUGCAGGCUGCAACUCGCCUGCAUGAAGUCGGAAUUGCUAGUAAUCGCGGAUCAGCAUGCCGCGGUGAAUA